RNAcentral lists this ribosomal RNA (404 nucleotides) under uncultured bacterium. Its description in RNAcentral is "bacterial SSU rRNA". The stretch from base 55 to 404 matches the Rfam family "Bacterial small subunit ribosomal RNA", at positions 1 to 355 of the family's 1533-position model. The record is from RNAcentral.
CUCACAUCGAAGUAACAGAUUAAUUCUGAGAUUUUGAUUGAGCGGUAGGGAUUAAAACAAAAGAGUUUGAUCCUGGCUCAGAUUGAACGCUGGCGGCAUGCUUUACACAUGCAAGUCGAACGGGGUUGGGAGCUUGCUUCCAAUCUAGUGGCGAACGGGUGAGUAAUACAUCGGAACGUACCGUGUAGUGGGGGAUAACGUAGCGAAAGUUACGCUAAUACCGCAUACGAUCCACGGAUGAAAGCAGGGGACCUUCGGGCCUUGUGCUAUACGAGCGGCCGAUGUCUGAUUAGCUAGUUGGUGAGGUAAAGGCUCACCAAGGCGACGAUCAGUAGCGGGUCUGAGAGGAUGAUCCGCCACACUGGGACUGAGACACGGCCCAGACUCCUACGGGAGGCAGCAGU